GAAUAUAAAGAUAAUUUGAUUAAGAUUUAGGUGUUUAAUUUAAAAAAUUUUAAUAACGAUAUAUAUACGUGGGUAACUUAGAUACAAAUCUAGAAUGGUUUUAAGUUAUAUUUUAUAAUGAUAUGCAUGGGUAAAUUAGAUCAAGAUUAUGAGGUUACUUUAAUUACUUUUAAUAAUGGUAGAGUUGGGUAAUUUAAAUAUAUGUUUAGGUGGUUUAUUUUAAGAAUAUUUUCAUAAUAAUAGUGCUAGGUAAUAUCUUAGAAAACAUAAUAGACCAAUGACUAUGAUCAUUAGAGUUGCACAAUUGAUGUUCGAUAUUUCUGAUUUUUUUAAGAAUUUUAGGAUUUAUCUUUCUUUUCUAGCAUGUUUCGUGACAAUUAACGUAGAGUCUCCAAUUAAAAAAAAGAGACCACAUUGCUGCAAAAUGUUUACCGUAACGCUUGAGUUAAUAACUCUUAUUCGUUAAAUAUUCUAACACAAUACUUAUAUAGAUAUAUACUUAUUAUCUUCAUCCGAUUAUGAUAGAUUUAGUUAAUAAUUACUCUGUAACAUUUUC
This 556-nucleotide long non-coding RNA is filed under the name Setaria viridis. Its description in RNAcentral is "long non-coding RNA (SVIR_LNC007635)". The record is from RNAcentral. Lineage: Eukaryota; Viridiplantae; Streptophyta; Magnoliopsida; Poales; Poaceae.